This 791-nucleotide long non-coding RNA is filed under the name Ananas comosus (pineapple). RNAcentral's name for it is "long non-coding RNA (ACOM_LNC016877)". Lineage: Eukaryota; Viridiplantae; Streptophyta; Magnoliopsida; Poales; Bromeliaceae. The record is from RNAcentral.
UUAUUAAACAUGCUGAAGAAUUUUAUAGAUAAAUAAAAGUAGAGAAUUGGUUAAUCUGUACUAAAAAAGGCAAGAGGGUAAAAAAAAAUGGCAAUGAAGAAGCAGGAGAAGAAACCACAACUUAUGGUGAAGAGAAAUGGUUGCAUGGCCGGAAAAAUAAAUUGUCAUAUGAAAAAGAAAAACGGUCGCAUGGAGAAGAUAACUUUCAUAUGGGAAAGAGAAACGGUCACAUUGAAAAGAUAAAAUGACAUAUGAAAUUAUGGCGAAGAGAAACGGUUGCAUGGCCGGAAAAAUAAAUUGUCAUAUGGAAAAGAGAAAGGUCGCAUGGAGAAGAUAACUUUUAUAUGGGAAAGAGAAACGGUCACAUUGGAAAGAUAAAAUGUUAUAUGAAAAAGAGAAACGGUUGAAGGAAGAGGAGAGGUCGGUUCAAAGAGAGCAAAAGAUAAAAUGUCAUAUGAAAAAGAGAAACGAUUGAAGAAAGAGAAGAGGUCGGUUCAAAGAGAGCAAAAAAAUGUAAAAAAUCUAAAAAAAAGGAGGGCUUGCCAUGUCAUCAUUUUUAUUGGGGAUUCAUACAGAGUUAUAGAUAUGUAUUUAUAAAUAUUUUAAUAUAUAUAUUCAAGCUUAUAUAUAGAGAGAGAGAAAAUUGGGCUGGAAUACUAUGACAGUAUUUGGGCUCUUUUGCUAUCGAGCUUUUAACCCUUAGAUAAAAAAUUAUAGGAUUAGGAUAAUAGUGGCCUCAUAGAAUUUAGUGCUGGUCCUCCUAGGGAUGAGUGGGUGGUUGGUUGAAUAGU